GCCGACGUGGUGGAAUUGGUAGACACGCCAUCUUGAGGGGGUGGUGACGCAAGUCGUGCCGGUUCAAAUCCGGCCGCCGGUACCA
This 85-nucleotide transfer RNA is filed under the name Methylococcales bacterium. RNAcentral describes it as "tRNA-Leu". It matches the Rfam family "tRNA". From Rfam's summary of the family: Transfer RNA (tRNA) molecules are approximately 80 nucleotides in length. Their secondary structure includes four short double-helical elements and three loops (D, anti-codon, and T loops). Further hydrogen bonds mediate the characteristic L-shaped molecular structure. tRNAs have two regions of fundamental functional importance: the anti-codon, which is responsible for specific mRNA codon recognition, and the 3' end, to which the tRNAs corresponding amino acid is attached (by aminoacyl-tRNA synthetases). tRNAs cope with the degeneracy of the genetic code in two manners: having more than one tRNA (with a specific anti-codon) for a particular amino acid; and 'wobble' base-pairing, i.e. permitting non-standard base-pairing at the 3rd anti-codon position. The record is from RNAcentral. Lineage: Bacteria; Pseudomonadati; Pseudomonadota; Gammaproteobacteria; Methylococcales.